GUCCACGCUGUAAACGAUGUCGACUUGGAGGUUGUGCCCUUGAGGCGUGGCUUCCGGAGCUAACGCGUUAAGUCGACCGCCUGGGGAGUACGGCCGCAAGGUUAAAACUCAAAUGAAUUGACGGGGGCCCGCACAAGCGGUGGAGCAUGUGGUUUAAUUCGAUGCAACGCGAAGAACCUUACCUACUCUUGACAUCCAGAGAAUUCGCUAGAGAUAGCUUAGUGCCUUCGGGAACUCUGAGACAGGUGCUGCAUGGCU
Molecule: ribosomal RNA, 258 nt
Filed under: uncultured bacterium
Lineage: Bacteria
Description: partial 16S ribosomal RNA
Rfam family: Bacterial small subunit ribosomal RNA
Source: RNAcentral